This 400-nucleotide ribosomal RNA is filed under the name uncultured bacterium. RNAcentral's name for it is "bacterial SSU rRNA". It matches the Rfam family "Bacterial small subunit ribosomal RNA", at positions 356 to 773 of the family's 1533-position model. The record is from RNAcentral.
GGGGAAUAUUGCACAAUGGGGGAAACCCUGAUGCAGCGACGCCGCGUGAGUGAAGAAGUAUUUCGGUAUGUAAAGCUCUAUCAGCAAGGAAGAUAAUGACGGUACUUGACUAAGAAGCCCCGGCUAACUACGUGCCAGCAGCCGCGGUAAUACGUAGGGGGCAAGCGUUAUCCGGAUUUACUGGGUGUAAAGGGAGCGUAGGUGGCAUGGUAAGUCAGAUGUGAAAGCCCAGGGCUCAACCCUGGGACUGCAUUUGAAACUAUCAGGCUAGAGUGCAGGAGAGGUAAGUGGAAUUCCUAGUGUAGCGGUGAAAUGCGUAGAUAUUAGGAAGAACACCAGUGGCGAAGGCGGCUUACUGGACUGUAACUGACACUGAGGCUCGAAAGCGUGGGGAGCAAAC